GCGGACGGGUGAGUAACGCGUGAGAAUUUGCCUUUCGGAUGGGGAUAACAGAGGGAAACCUCUGCUAAUACCCAAUGUGCAGCGAUGUGAAAGAUUUAUCGCCGAAAGAGAAGCUCGCGUCUGAUUAGCUAGUUGGUGGGGUAAAGGCUCACCAAGGCGACGAUCAGUAGCCGGUCUGAGAGGAUGAUCGGCCACACUGGGACUGAGACACGGCCCAGACUCCUACGGGAGGCAGCAGUGGGGAAUUUUCCGCAAUGGGCGAAAGCCUGACGGAGCAACGCCGCGUGUGGGAAGAAAGCUCUUGGGCUGUAAACCACUUUUCUCAGGGAAGAAGUUCUGACGGUACCUGAGGAAAUCAGCCUCGGCUAACUCCGUGCCAGCAGCCGCGGUAAUACGGAGGAGGCAAGCGUUAUCCGGAAUUAUUGGGCGUAAAGGGUCCGCAGGGGGCUCAUCAAGUCUGCUGUUAAAGGUCGGAGCUUAACUCCGAUGUAGCAGUGGAAAC
This 502-nucleotide ribosomal RNA is filed under the name uncultured bacterium. RNAcentral describes it as "bacterial SSU rRNA". It matches the Rfam family "Bacterial small subunit ribosomal RNA", at positions 98 to 633 of the family's 1533-position model. The record is from RNAcentral.